This 2570-nucleotide long non-coding RNA is filed under the name Meleagris gallopavo (turkey). Its description in RNAcentral is "lncRNA (ENSMGAG00000018926.1)". Lineage: Eukaryota; Metazoa; Chordata; Aves; Galliformes; Phasianidae. The record is from RNAcentral.
AACAAGUGACUUUUGCUAUCUCCCAUAUCACAGGUGAAAAGAUGCAGGUGUACCGGGAAGCUGCCAAACACGUGAGAGUCAUUCUGGUCUCCAAAAAUCUGCUGGAAUCUGCCCAGGCAGGCAGAACAAGACUUCCUUCGUUCAAGAAUUCACCAUUUGCUCAGAUUGCACAAGGAGCUGUGUUCCACCAAAACCUACUGUGUCUCUCCCCACGUUGCUGCUUGCUGCCAUUUUGUAGCACAGCCUGCACCUUCUGUAGGGGCACAUUGACUUCUGACUCUUCACACUGGUCCUCACUCAGGAUCCAGCUGACGGAGUGUCCCAGACAGAGCUACCGCAUGGCCCAUAAGAAACUUGUCCCUUUGGCACUGACUCUCCCCCUUUGCAAUUUCACUUGGAAUUCUGUUGGUUUGUCUACUUGCUUCCCAGCUGGGAAGCAGAAAACGCGUCCUGACAGCUGUGGGUGAGCAGGUCCCAUCUGAGAGAUUUUGCAGGUCCCAUCUGAGAGACUUUGGCAGCUCUCAUGCCAGAGGCUCCUCCAGCUCCAGUGCUGGGCACCGUUCACUCUGUGCCCUAGAUCUAUCUUUUGUCCCUUCCAUUCCUCGUCGCCCCUGUGCUGUUGGGUGCCACUCCAGCUCUCAGGCACAGCUGGGUUAAGAGUUGCUGCAUUACUUGUUAGCAGACCCUGAGAGCGAGGACAGGCUGGAACAUAUCCUUAUGAGGGAAUAGCCAAAUACGAAAUGUAUUCAUGCGAGCUGCUGAACUAACCAGUUCUUAAACCUCUUAGCAAGUGCUUUCUGACAUGGCACAUCACUAACUUUUCAUCAGGUUUUACUAGUGCAGAAUUAAACUCCUUGCAAUUAUCUAGGUGUGUUAUAUCUCCACGUUUACCUGUACAAACCUGUAAUCCAAAAUGAUGAAAUAAGAUUUCUUUGGCAAUUCUUAGAAAACCACAGUAAGACACUGUGUGCCUACCAUCAGUUCUUUGAGUGUUGUCACCCCCUGUUAUCUCCACUGGUAGUCUUUCCAUUCUCCUGGUCAGAGUUAGUGUGUAUUUAUCUUUAUCUGUUUUAUAUACUAGUAUAACAUAAGAGCUUUUCCAGUCUUCUGGAAUUCCCCCAGUGCCUUCAAAAUCCAGGCCUGUGAAAAAGAAGGAUCCUCAGCCAACUCUUCCACCUCACUUGGAGUUGACUGACAUCUCAACAUGUCAGGGUAGUAGCGUCUGUCUCAAUCAUCUUCUUCAGUUACCAUCAAAGAAUAAUUCCUCUCCACUUGAUAUGAGCAAAUAAUCCUGCUUCUUUCUAGAUACAAAAUAAAUAAUAUUGAACUGCUCUGUUUUAUUGGCACUUCUGUCUUUCAGUUCUGAUCCAUCUACCUUUCUAAGAUGCUUUGCUCUUCACAGACUUCUCUUCUGCUGUUAGCCUCAGCAGGACAGUAUGACGUUUAGGCACAUCAAUGUUUGUGUUCCUCAUGUUGCUGCACCAGAGGAGCAGGGCAGCUGCUCCCUCAGAGGUAUGAUGAGGCCGAUGACAGCUGCAGGGAAGAGCAGGCCGUGGAGCAGCUUUUGCUCACCACCCAUUGCUGAUGGCUGUUAAUCAUUUUGCUGAUGAUAACCUGCUCACAGGCUAAUGCGGGCUUUAAAAUGAUCGAUGACUCACAGUACUCUAUCUGGCAAAGAUAAGUGCUUUUUCUCAGGGUGAGUGCAACCUGCCCUGCGCUCAGAUUGGUGCGGCAUGCCUUUCCAUAUGAUUGCUGGGUGCCUGAUGUGCAUCAGCUCAUGGUGCUCUGCCUCGGUCUAAAAUCAAUCUUAUGAGCAAUGUUUAGACCCUGCUGACCUAAGACCUCUGUCAGGCAGGUGUUCAGGGAGCAGUGUGACCCACAGCAGUGCAGUUACCUUCUGAAACAGGUAGUGCUCACAGGCAAAGGCAGAACCCCAGGGCUCAGCGCUAUCUAGGCAGCAGGGCCAGGAGCUACCUGCCCAAGCUGGCUUUGCCUCAGGACCCCAGAACUGCACAUUGGCUCAUACAUGCACAUGAUGAGCAGCAGGGUGUUAAAGAGCAGUAGAAGCUCUUGCUGUGCUUUUAGUUGCCGAGUGUUCCUGAUUUUCUCCAUUUCUAUCAACACCAGUGCUACACUAGGACUGUGUUCCCUGAUCAUCAGGGAGGAUUAUCAUUGCCCUGAUCAACAUCCAUUACAAUCAAAUGGGAAAUAAGAAUUUAAACAAAACAACGACAACAAAAAUUCAAAGCCAGACUUCUCAUUACAUUCUGCUUCCUCUGAUAUUCUAAAUGUUUCAGGUUUCAUUUAAAUUGAGCUUGUUUCUCCUCUUGCAUAUGUUUUGUGGCAAUCCUUUCAAUAGCUUUACUUCUCCCUGGCGUCAGAGACAUUUCCAGGGAACGCAGGUCUAUUUUUUCUGCGUUGCAAGGCUGUAGCAAAACUAGAGUGUGGGAAGCAGGGAAAGCUAAAAUUACGCCUUGUUUGUCUACUUAGUGCACAAUUACCCAGCGGGCUCCAGACACCCUGGCGCAUUUUGCUGUGGAUUGCGUGCAUGGCUCCUGCAGGCAGACCUG